Small nucleolar RNA from Tachyglossus aculeatus (Australian echidna), 138 nucleotides. The record is from RefSeq and is a predicted model, not a curated record. Lineage: Eukaryota; Metazoa; Chordata; Mammalia; Monotremata; Tachyglossidae.
CCUCUUUCAGGGUCACAGCUGGAGAGUUUCCACUCCUCUACCAGCCUCGGCUACGGGAGGGAGAGUCAAGCUGAGGUCUACCCAUUCCAUUCCUAGCUUGGCCAGUGGUUAGCGAGUGGAAGGCCAUCUGCUACAAGU